UACGGAGGGUGCAAGCGUUGUUCGGAAUCACUGGGCGUAAAGGGCGCGUAGGCGGCUAUGCAAGUCAUAUGUGAAAGCCCACGGCUUAACCGUGGAAGUGCAUGUGAAACUGCAUGGCUUGAGUAUCGGAGGGGAAAGUGGAAUUCCCGGUGUAGAGGUGAAAUUCGUAGAGAUCGGGAGGAAUACCGGUGGCGAAGGCGACUUUCUGGACGAAUACUGACGCUGAGGCGCGAAAGCGUGGGGAGCAAACAGG
This 253-nucleotide ribosomal RNA is filed under the name uncultured bacterium. RNAcentral's name for it is "partial 16S ribosomal RNA". It matches the Rfam family "Bacterial small subunit ribosomal RNA", at positions 524 to 776 of the family's 1533-position model. The record is from RNAcentral.